UCGGGAAUUUUGGGCAAUGGGCGAAAGCCUGACCCAGCAACGCCGCGUGAAGGAUGAAGUCUUUCGGGAUGUAAACUUCGUAAGAAUAGGAAGAAUAAAUGACGGUACUAUUUGUAAGGUCCGGCUAACUACGUGCCAGCAGCCGCGGUAAUACGUAGGGACCAAGCGUUGUUCGGAUUUACUGGGCGUAAAGGGCGCGUAGGCGGCGUAUCAAGUCACUUGUGAAAUCUCCGGGCUUAACUCGGAACGGUCAAGUGAUACUGAUGUGCUAGAGUGCAGAAGGGGCAACCGGAAUUCUUGGUGUAGCGGUGAAAUGCGUAGAUAUCAAGAGGAACACCGGAGGUGAAGACGGGUUGCUGGGCUGACACUGACGCUGAGGCGCGAAAGCUAGGGUAGCAAACGGG
This 404-nucleotide ribosomal RNA is filed under the name uncultured bacterium. RNAcentral's name for it is "bacterial SSU rRNA". It matches the Rfam family "Bacterial small subunit ribosomal RNA", at positions 355 to 776 of the family's 1533-position model. The record is from RNAcentral.